RNAcentral lists this ribosomal RNA (279 nucleotides) under uncultured bacterium. RNAcentral describes it as "partial 16S ribosomal RNA". It matches the Rfam family "Bacterial small subunit ribosomal RNA", at positions 506 to 784 of the family's 1533-position model. The record is from RNAcentral.
UGCCAGCCGCCGCGGUAAUACGGAGGAUCCAAGCGUUAUCCGGAAUCAUUGGGUUUAAAGGGUCCGUAGGCGGGAAUCUAAGUCAGUGGUGAAAUCUUGCAGCUCAACUGUAAAAUUGCCAUUGAUACUGGAUUUCUUGAAUUAGUGUGAAGUGGUUAGAAUGUGUAGUGUAGCGGUGAAAUGCGUAGAUAUGAUAUAGAACACCGAUUGCGAAGGCAGCUCACUAAACUAUUAUUGACGCUGAGGGACGAAAGCGUGGGGAGCGAACAGGAUUAGAUA